This 585-nucleotide ribosomal RNA is filed under the name Lactarius sp. WT2. RNAcentral's name for it is "eukaryotic LSU rRNA". It matches the Rfam family "Eukaryotic large subunit ribosomal RNA", at positions 88 to 649 of the family's 3401-position model. Lineage: Eukaryota; Fungi; Basidiomycota; Agaricomycetes; Russulales; Russulaceae. The record is from RNAcentral.
UGCGAGUGAAGCGGGAAAGCUCAAAUUUAAAUCUGGCGGUCUUUGGCCGUCCGAGUUGUAAUUUAGAGAAGCGUCUUCCGCGCCGGACCGUGCACAAGUCUCCUGGAAUGGAGCGUCAUAGAGGGUGAGAAUCCCGUCUUUGGCACGGACUCCCGGUGCUUCUGUGAUGCGCUCUCGAAGAGUCGAGUUGUUUGGGAAUGCAGCUCAAAAUGGGUGGUGAACUCCAUCUAAAGCUAAAUAUUGGCGAGAGACCGAUAGCGAACAAGUACCGUGAGGGAAAGAUGAAAAGCACUUUGGAAAGAGAGUGAAACAGUACGUGAAAUUGUUGAAAGGGAAACGCUUGAAGUCAGUCGCGUCGACCGAGACUCAGCCUUGCCUUGGCUUGGUGUACUUCUCGGCCCGACGGGUCAGCAUCAAUUUUGCUCCUCGGAUAAUGGCAAGGGAAAGGUGGCACCUUUACGGGUGUGUUAUAGUCUCCUGUCGCAUGCGAGGGGUGGGAUUGAGGAACUCAGCGCGCACCUUUGGUGUCGGGGCUUCGGCCCACGUCACGCGCUUAGGAUGCUGGCGUAAUGGCUUUAAUCGACC